This 274-nucleotide ribosomal RNA is filed under the name uncultured bacterium. RNAcentral describes it as "partial 16S ribosomal RNA". It matches the Rfam family "Bacterial small subunit ribosomal RNA", at positions 524 to 794 of the family's 1533-position model. The record is from RNAcentral.
UACGUAGGGUGCGAGCGUUAAUCGGAAUUACUGGGCGUAAAGCGCGCGUAGGUGGUUCAGCAAGUUGGAUGUGAAAGCCCCGGGCGUCAACCUGGGAACGUGCGUUUGGUAACUACAAGACUAGAGUGUGUCAGAGGGGGGUGGAAUUCCGCGUGUAGCAGUGAAAUGCGUAGAGAUGCGGAGGAACACCGAUGGCGAAGGCAGCCCCCUGGGAUAACACUGACGCUCAUGCACGAAAGCGUGGGGAGCAAACAGGAUUAGAUACCCUAGUAGU